This 2695-nucleotide long non-coding RNA is filed under the name Salmo salar (Atlantic salmon). RNAcentral's name for it is "lncRNA (ENSSSAG00000094917.1)". The record is from RNAcentral. Lineage: Eukaryota; Metazoa; Chordata; Actinopteri; Salmoniformes; Salmonidae.
UAUUUUAGGUACAACUUUAUUUUCAUCUGGAUUAAAUAAAACAACACUGUAAUGUAAACCUAUGGCCUAUACUGAUGUAAAGUCCCCUGUUUGGGGGACCUGUGUUGUUCUGGUACCGGUUCCAACCAACAUUUUCACUUAUAAAUCGAUAUGUAGACAACGUAUAUGGAAAUGGCUUGCUGUGAACGACAGUCCUUGUUCCCACGGACACAGUAGUAUAUUUUCUGAGCCUGUGCAAUGUAGGAUGUGAAAUCUGAAACCACUUGACACUGGGAUGUCCUUCAUUCACUCUUCCGACUGUCCAUCACCUCCUGGCUGAACCUUACGUCACAGCAACUGACAAAACACAUGACUGAAAUCCUGACAUCGUAGCACAGCAGUAGAGAGUGGUUUCAUCAGAGAUUGAUUUACAGCCAUUCAUCUAAAAUAAUUCAUAGAUUUUAAACAACAAAAAAAACAACGUUGUUUUUUCACAGAUUUGUCAUAUGAAUGUGAGAUGAAAGGCGAGUUACUAACGAGUUCAGGAAGGCCAAGCUAGAGCUUGUUUUAAACAAAAGAAAAUACUUUUAGAAAAUGUGCACAUUUUCUCUAACACUAAACAUACAAAUAUGUAUUUUACAGUUAUAAGGAAGGUACUAUCUUAUACUUAGAGGUUUUAUAAUUUGAUUAUAAUAUAUUUAGAAAGCAUAUAAGUCAUUUCAAGACUUAUUCAUACAGUUUUGUUGAAAAGGAAUUACGUAAUAUAAAAUAUGUAUCAUAUUUGUACUGUAUACUUGAGCUUGUGUCUUAAAGUGACUACACCUCAGCAAUUUACAACUAUUUUUUUACCAGAAAGGUGAGAUUUGAACCUUUCUGUGAAUAUGUAGCAUCACUAGUUAAUAUUUAUGGCCCUUUGGGGAUUACAUAGAUUACAUUUUAGUUAAACAUUUUUUUAUAAGUAUACUACAUUUUGACAUAACAUGUUUUGUCUUUAUCGUUUCAUAAUUACAACAUUAAAAACAUACGGUCCUAAAAAAGAAAGGGUGGUGGCAUCGCCCAUAAAAGACUGCAACAACAAGUACGUCUUUCUACGACAGAAAGAGAACUAGGGACAGAACAGAAACUGAUAUAGAGUAAAGUUGGAACUCCCACUGAAUUGGACUAGGAGAUGAAUUAUCUCAUGUCGUUGUUUGAUCUCUUAAAGGGACGGGGGUCAAAGUAACUCACGCAAUAACCACCAUGGCCUCCCCACCAACUCAUGGUAGUACUAUGUUUCCUUUACAACAUUACCCCUUGUAACCAUACAACAUUACCCCCUGUAACCAUACAACAUUACCCACUGUAACCAUACAACAUUACCCCCUGUAGCCAUACAACAUUACUCCCUGUAACCAUACACCAUUACUCCCUGUAACCAUACACAACAUUACCCCUUGUAAUCAUACACAACAUUACUCCCUGUAACCAUACACUACAUUACCCGCUGUGACCAUACACAGCAUUACCCCCUGUAACAAUACACGACAUUACCCCCUGUAACCAUACAACAUUACCCCUUGUAACCAUACACAACAUUACCCCCUGUAACCAUACACUACAUUACCCACUGUAACCAUACACAGCAUUACCCCCUGUAACAAUACACGACAUUACCCCCUGUAACCAUACAACAUUACCCCUUGUAACCAUACACAACAUUACCCCCUGUAACCAUACACAACAUUACCCACUGUAACCAUACACAGCAUUACCCCCUGUAACCAUACACAACAUUACCCCUUGUAACCAUACACAACAUUACCCGCUGUAACCAUACACAACAUUAUCCCAGUGGAACCCAUCUAUAUAAAGCCUAAUUGGUUUUGUAUACUUCAGAUUAGGGCUGUGUGUAGUUGCAUACCAAAUGACACUCUAUACUUGGGUCCUGGUCCAAAGUAGUGCACUAUAUAGGGAAUAGGGUGCUAUAGGGCUCUGGUCUAAAGUAGUGCACUAUAUAGGGAAUAGGGUGCCAUAGAGCGCUGGUCUAAAGUAGUGCACUAUAUAGGGAAUAGGGUGCCAAAGGGCUCUGUCUAAAGUAGUGCACUAUAUAUAAGGAAUAGGAUGCCAUAGGGCUCUGCUCUAAAGUAGUGCACUAUAUAGGGACUAGGCUGCCAUUUAGGAUGUAGCCUAUGUUUCCAACCCAUUCAACAGCAUUGGGUUGUCGUUUGAACUCUGACAAGGAAUGGGGGUCAAAGUCACAAUCACCCCACGCCUGGCUGCCCCUUUCCUCACCAACUCACUGCAUACAAUAUAAAUGUCUCUGAAAAACAUAUUUUCCUCACAGCAUAACAUACCCUUUCAAAUAUAACCCAGCUAGAUAAAGUCCCAUUGCACUUGUACACAAUUCCCUUUAUUUGCAAAUGAACACUUUGGUUUUCAAACCUGGAAUUUGAGCUGAUAUUUGAGCUGAAUAUCACUCUAAUUACACUUGUGUAUUUUCACUGAUAAAACAACAGAUCAGGGUGUAUUCCAGGCUUCUGCUUUCAUAGAACAAGAGAGGAGAACCUCCCUUCAAGCGUCUGCCCUGAACUUAUCCUGGUCUCCACCCUUACCCUGGUACCUAGACAGACCAAUACAGACAGACCAUACUACCCUGGUACCUAGAGAGACCAAUACAGACAGACCAUACUACCCUGGUACCUAGACAGACCAAUACAGACAGACCAUACUACCCUGG